RNAcentral lists this ribosomal RNA (459 nucleotides) under uncultured bacterium. Its description in RNAcentral is "partial 16S ribosomal RNA". It matches the Rfam family "Bacterial small subunit ribosomal RNA", at positions 339 to 795 of the family's 1533-position model. The record is from RNAcentral.
CUACGGGCGGCUGCAGUAAGGAAUAUUGGGCAAUGGACGCAAGUCUGACCCAGCCAUGCCGCGUGCAGGAUGACAGCCCUACGGGUCGUAAACUGCUUUUAUAUAGGAAAAAACCCCCGAACGUGUUCGGGGCUGAUGGUACUAUAUGAAUAAGGAUCGGCUAACUCCGUGCCAGCAGCCGCGGUAAUACGGAGGAUCCAAGCGUUAUCCGGAUUCAUUGGGUUUAAAGGGUGCGCAGGCGGGACGGUAAGUCAGUGGUGAAAGCCUACAGCUCAACUGUAGAACUGCCAUUGAAACUACCGUUCUUGAGUACAGUUGAAGUGGGCGGAAUGUGUCAUGUAGCGGUGAAAUGCAUAGAUAUGACACAGAACACCGAUCGCGAAGGCAGCUCACUAAGCUGUAACUGACGCUCAGGCACGAAAGCGUGGGGAGCAAACAGGAUUAGAUACCCGCGUAGUC